Long non-coding RNA from Chinchilla lanigera (long-tailed chinchilla), 543 nucleotides. RefSeq lists it as uncharacterized. Lineage: Eukaryota; Metazoa; Chordata; Mammalia; Rodentia; Chinchillidae. The transcript has 3 exons. The record is from RefSeq and is a predicted model, not a curated record.
UCUUUCUUUGCUUCCUAGCCACCCUGGGGUGAGCAGUCUCACUCCACCAUGUGCUCCCCACUGUGACGUGCUUCAUUACCACAGGCUCAAAGGAAUGAGGCCAAGAAACCACGGACUGAAACCUCUGAAACUGGGAGCCAAGGUUGGUCUUUUGCUUCUUUGUCCCCACAGAGGACUAUGUGCACCUCACGGAAAAGCUUGAAUGUACGUGUUCUGGCUUAACCAAGAGGCCAAGAUGGUGGUCUAUGUCUAAGUCCUUAUGAUAAAUUGCUUCUCCAACUUCCUCAAGCUGACAGUAUAAACUGCCAGCCCUCCUCACCUCAGCUGAGAUGAAUGGACAGAAAAGAAAUACCUCCAACAGAAAGCUGGCCAGUCCUUCUGAAAGGAAUAUGCAGACGCUGGCCCCAGGAGGUCAAGGUCCUGGUUUCCGCAAGGGAGGGAGGGAGCAGAAAUGGCCACGGGAUCAAACAGUGGGAAAACUUUCUUGUCUAUUGUGUCAUUGUAUCGUCUCACCCACUUCCUUGCAAUAAAAGCCCAUACACA